Non-coding RNA from Caenorhabditis elegans, 154 nucleotides. The record is from Ensembl. NCBI's taxonomy places the organism in Eukaryota, Metazoa, Nematoda, Chromadorea, Rhabditida, Rhabditidae.
UUUGCAACAUGGGGUCCGAGACGGACGCGCCUCUUCAUGAUUAGCAUGAUUUUCAUCACUACAGAGCUCACUUUAAAGAAAUUUGUUAGCAUUUUUUACACGUACCGCUUUGAUUCCUGCCUCUAUAAACGUGUGUGGUCUCAUUGCGAUGUCA